RNAcentral lists this ribosomal RNA (609 nucleotides) under uncultured Eubacteriales bacterium. Its description in RNAcentral is "bacterial SSU rRNA". It matches the Rfam family "Bacterial small subunit ribosomal RNA", at positions 55 to 655 of the family's 1533-position model. Lineage: Bacteria; Bacillati; Bacillota; Clostridia; Eubacteriales. The record is from RNAcentral.
AUGCAAGUCGAACGGAGCGCACAAGAAGAAUUUCUUCGGAGAUGAUUUUUGUGCUGCUUAGUGGCGAACGGGUGAGUAACACGUGAAUAACCUACCCUGAAGUGGGGGACAACACUUUGGAAACAGAUGCUAAUACCGCAUAAGACCCCGGAACCACAUGGUUCUGAGGCCAAAGGAGCAAUUCGCUUUGGGAUGGAUUCGCGCCUGAUUAGCUAGAUGGUGAGGUAACGGCCCACCAUGGCAACGAUCAGUAGCCGGACUGAGAGGUUGAACGGCCACAUUGGGACUGAGACACGGCCCAGACUCCUACGGGAGGCAGCAGUGGGGAAUAUUGCACAAUGGGCGAAAGCCUGAUGCAGCGACGCCGCGUGAGGGAAGAAGGUUUUCGGAUUGUAAACCUCUGUCUUCGGGGACGAAAAAAAUGACGGUACCCGAGGAGGAAGCCACGGCCUAACUACGUGCCAGCAGCCGCGGUAAAACGUAGGUGGCAAGCGUUGUCCGGAAUUACUGGGUGUAAAGGGAGCGCAGGCGGGCUGGUAAGUUGAAUGUGAAAACUGGGGGUUCAACCCCCAGACUGCGUUCAAAACUACUGGUCUUGAGUGAUGGAGA